GCCGGGAUAGCUCAGUUGGGAGAGCAGCAGACUGAAGUCACGGUACCGUGGGAGUGAAUUCUGAAGGUCCCGUGUUCAAUCCACGGUCCUGGCA
Rhodofomes roseus is the source of this 94-nucleotide non-coding RNA. The record is from the annotation of a RefSeq genome assembly. NCBI's taxonomy places the organism in Eukaryota, Fungi, Basidiomycota, Agaricomycetes, Polyporales, Fomitopsidaceae.